GGGUGAGUAACGCGUGGGCAACCUGCCCUGUACCGGGGGACAACAGCCAGAAAUGGCUGCUAAUACCGCAUAAGCCUGCUGUGCCGCAUGGCACAGCAGGGAAAACCACGGUGGUACAGGAUGGGCCCGCGUCUGAUUAGUUAGUUGGCAGGGUAACGGCCUACCAAGACAACGAUCAGUAGCCGGCUUGAGAGAGUGGACGGCCACAUUGGGACUGAGACACGGCCCAGACUCCUGCGGGAGGCAGCAGUGGGGAAUAUUGCACAAUGGGGGGAACCCUGAUGCAGCAAUGCCGCGUGGGUGAAGAAGCACUCCGGUGUGUAAAGCCCUGUCAGCAGGGAAGAAAAUGACAGUACCUGGACAAGAAGCCCCGGCUAACUACGUGCCAGCAGCCGCGGUAAUACGUAGGGGGCAAGCGUUAUCCGGAUUUACUGGGUGUAAAGGGAGCGCAGGCGGCGUGGCAAGUCAGAUGUGAAAACCCGGGGCCCAACCCCGGGAGUGCAUUUGAAACUGCCAUGCUGGAGUGCCGGAGAGGUAAGCGGAAUCCCUAGUGUAGCGGUGAAAUGCGUAGAUAUUAGGAGGAACACCAGUGGCGGAGGCGGCUUACUGGACGGUAACUGACGCUGAGGCUCGAAAGCGUGGGGAGCAAACAGGAUUAGAUACCCUGGUAGUCCACGCCGUAA
This 683-nucleotide ribosomal RNA is filed under the name uncultured bacterium. Its description in RNAcentral is "bacterial SSU rRNA". It matches the Rfam family "Bacterial small subunit ribosomal RNA", at positions 104 to 805 of the family's 1533-position model. The record is from RNAcentral.